GUGCUCACUUCGGCAACACAUAUACUAAAAUUAGAACGAUACAGAGAAGAUUAGCAUGGCCCCUGAGCAAGGAUGACAGACUAGUGUUAAACUCACUGUAAUC
Small nuclear RNA from Octodon degus (degu), 103 nucleotides. The record is from Ensembl. Lineage: Eukaryota; Metazoa; Chordata; Mammalia; Rodentia; Octodontidae.